RNAcentral lists this transfer RNA (70 nucleotides) under Crassvirales sp. Its description in RNAcentral is "tRNA-Met". It matches the Rfam family "tRNA". Rfam says of the family: Transfer RNA (tRNA) molecules are approximately 80 nucleotides in length. Their secondary structure includes four short double-helical elements and three loops (D, anti-codon, and T loops). Further hydrogen bonds mediate the characteristic L-shaped molecular structure. tRNAs have two regions of fundamental functional importance: the anti-codon, which is responsible for specific mRNA codon recognition, and the 3' end, to which the tRNAs corresponding amino acid is attached (by aminoacyl-tRNA synthetases). tRNAs cope with the degeneracy of the genetic code in two manners: having more than one tRNA (with a specific anti-codon) for a particular amino acid; and 'wobble' base-pairing, i.e. permitting non-standard base-pairing at the 3rd anti-codon position. The record is from RNAcentral. Lineage: Duplodnaviria; Heunggongvirae; Uroviricota; Caudoviricetes; Crassvirales.
GGGGUGAUAGCAAUGGUAGCUAGCAAGACUCAUAAUCUUGAGGUUGGAGGUUCGAGUCCUCCCCCCGUAA